CUAACGCUGAGGGGUCCCAUAAUAGGACGAAACGGCCGUCCAG
Molecule: non-coding RNA, 43 nt
Filed under: Schistosoma mansoni
Lineage: Eukaryota; Metazoa; Platyhelminthes; Trematoda; Strigeidida; Schistosomatidae
Source: RNAcentral